CUGCUACUACAGAACGUAUACAAAAAUUGGAAUGAUACAAAAAAGAUUAGCAUGACCCCUGCUCAAGAAUGACACGCAAACUCAUGAAGAAUUCUAUAUUUUA
Molossus molossus (Pallas's mastiff bat) is the source of this 103-nucleotide small nuclear RNA. Lineage: Eukaryota; Metazoa; Chordata; Mammalia; Chiroptera; Molossidae. The record is from RefSeq and is a predicted model, not a curated record.